This is a long non-coding RNA of Oreochromis niloticus (Nile tilapia), 1047 nucleotides long. RefSeq lists it as uncharacterized. The transcript is spliced from 3 exons. NCBI's taxonomy places the organism in Eukaryota, Metazoa, Chordata, Actinopteri, Cichliformes, Cichlidae. The record is from RefSeq and is a predicted model, not a curated record.
UUUUCCUUCAUACUGUCACCAAGUGCUUGCUCAUACGGUAUCAUCUAAUUGUGGGUGUUACAGUGCCUUCAAGCAACAGAUUUUGUAAACUGGUGCUAUAUAAAUUCAUUUCCUUCAGCUAUCCUGAAGGAAACUUCAGAGGGAACCAGAUAAGUGAUGUUCAAAUGGUUCAGAUUCAAAUUGGCCUUCCACCCCUCUAACUCAGGCCAGACAACCAAUUUGCUCAUCAGGACCACUACAGGCUUCUACCAAUUUCCUCUGGCUUCCCCCUGCCUGCGCACAAUUCACCAACAUCAGCUCUGCAACACAUUGACGACCUGUCCAGGGUGCAAUGAAUUAAUUAAACUUUCUUUUCAGUAAAAAAGUGCUAAUGACAGCUUUAAGAAAAAAGGUCAAACACCUACAGCAUCAAAAACAUGUUUCUGCGAGUCUAGAUAAGAGUUUUGAAUGGCUUCACUUGAUAUACCAUAUUGUACAAAAAUAUCAGCAGACUCUGAGGGGUUGAGUGGUAUUCACUGAGCCAACCAUGAACAAUGUUAAUCUGUUUCACAGUUUUUUUUCUUGUUGAAAAGGGAAUAGAAGAAUCUUUAACAGCAACUCCACAACACUGAGAGUCAGCCAGAGAUGUGGGAUGUCCCAAACGCUGUGCUGUGGAUCAACAUCUGUGUCUGCCUUCCUCUGACCAUAAUUUUCAUUGUUUGUGUGUGUUAUGUGGGGCGAAGGGAUCCUCUCACUGUCACGUAUUACAUAAAUCUGCUCAUCUCCAAUCUGGUCCAACUCUGCAUACUGUUUGUUUGGGUGGCACGACUGGAUGGCACCACCUGUGCUGCAUUAGCCCUCUUUAGUGUGACGGCGAAUAUUGACUUCAGCAUUUGCAUUGCUUUGGAAAGGUAUUUUUUCAUCACCUGUCCUUUCCUCGACUUCAUCAGACAAACUAAGGGUUCUGUGUUGGUUUGCCUUCUAGUGUGGAGUGUUUGUAUUAUAACGGCCAGUCUUGCCAUAGCCUUACAAGUGCUUUUACGCUUUGUAAUUCAUGCCCUUCUCCCU